GAGCACCAAGAGAAUCAAGAUAAAACCUUCCCCACCGAAUCUCUUGGUUCUGGCAUCGAUGAAGAACGCAGCGAAAUGCGAUAAGUAAUGUGAAUUGCAGAAUUCACUGAAUCAUCGAAUCUUUGAACGCACAUUGCGCCCCCUGGCAUUCCGGGGGGCAUGCCUGUUCGAGCGUCAUUACACCACUCAAGCCUAGCUUGGUAUUGGAGGCCGCGAGCGAUCGCGCCUGUCAAAGUCACCGGCUGAGCCGUCCGUCUCCAAGCGUUGUGGCAACUAUCCGCGAGCGAGACCCGGGCGACCCGGCCGUUAAACCCCCCAUCAAAGGUUGACCUCGGAUCAGGUAGGGAUACCCGCUGAACUUAAGCAUAUCAAUAAGCGGAGGA
This 383-nucleotide ribosomal RNA is filed under the name uncultured Parateratosphaeria. RNAcentral's name for it is "eukaryotic LSU rRNA". The stretch from base 24 to 177 matches the Rfam family "5.8S ribosomal RNA". Lineage: Eukaryota; Fungi; Ascomycota; Dothideomycetes; Mycosphaerellales; Teratosphaeriaceae. The record is from RNAcentral.